This 756-nucleotide ribosomal RNA is filed under the name uncultured bacterium. RNAcentral's name for it is "bacterial SSU rRNA". It matches the Rfam family "Bacterial small subunit ribosomal RNA", at positions 8 to 796 of the family's 1533-position model. The record is from RNAcentral.
AGAGUUUGAUCAUGGCUCAGAAUCAACGCUGGCGGCGUGCCUAACACAUGCAAGUCGCACGAGAAAGUGGAGCAAUCCAUGAGUAAAGUGGCGCACGGGUGAGUAACACGUGAAUCAUCUACCUCCGAGUGGGGAAUAACUGAGAGAAAUCUUAGCUAAUACCGCAUAAUACCCACGGGUCAAAGCAGCAAUGCGCUUGGAGAGGAGUUCGCGGCCGAUUAGUUAGUUGGCGGGGUAAUGGCCCACCAAGACGAUGAUCGGUAUCCGGCCUGAGAGGGCGCACGGACACACUGGAACUGAAACACGGUCCAGACUCCUACGGGAGGCAGCAGUGGGGAAUUUUGCGCAAUGGGGGAAACCCUGACGCAGCAACGCCGCGUGGAGGAUGAAAUCCCUUGGGAUGUAAACUCCUUUCGAUAGGGAAGAUAAUGACGGUACCUAUAGAAGAAGCCCCGGCUAACUUCGUGCCAGCAGCCGCGGUAAUACGAGGGGGGCAAGCGUUGUUCGGAAUUAUUGGGCGUAAAGGGUGCGUAGGCGGUUUGACAAGUCUGAUGUGAAAUCUAUGGGCUCAACCCAUAGUCUGCAUCGGAAACUGUCGGGCUUGAGUAUGGGAGAGGUGAGUGGAAUUUCCGGUGUAGCGGUGAAAUGCGUAGAUAUCGGAAGGAACACCUGUGGCGAAAGCGGCUCACUGGACCAUUACUGACGCUGAUGCACGAAAGCUAGGGGAGCAAACAGGAUUAGAUACCCUAGUAGUCC